AAAGUCGUAACAAGGUUUCCGUAGGUGAACCUGCGGAAGGAUCAUUAAAUGUUAUAGCAACCCUCUGGCUGAAAAUGCCAGGGGGCACAACUAUACCACCCUUUGUUUAUUACACUUUUGUUGCUUUGGUAGGCCAGUCCUCGGACUGCUGGCUUCGGCCGGACAGCGCCUACCAGAGGACCUAAACUCUGUUUGUCUAUAAUGUCUGAGUACUAUAUAAUAGUUAAAACUUUCAACAACGGAUCUCUUGGUUCUG
Molecule: unclassified non-coding RNA, 256 nt
Filed under: Ascomycota sp.
Lineage: Eukaryota; Fungi; Ascomycota
Description: partial contains small subunit ribosomal RNA, internal transcribed spacer 1, and 5.8S ribosomal RNA
Rfam family: Eukaryotic small subunit ribosomal RNA (bases 1-47)
Source: RNAcentral